CGUAGGGAGCGAGCGUUGUCCGGAAUUACUGGGUGUAAAGGGAGCGUAGGCGGGAUCGCAAGUCAGAUGUGAAAACUAUGGGCUUAACCCAUAAACUGCAUUUGAAACUGUGGUUCUUGAGUGAAGUAGAGGUAAGCGGAAUUCCUAGUGUAGCGGUGAAAUGCGUAGAUAUUAGGAGGAACAUCAGUGGCGAAGGCGGCUUACUGGGCUUUAACUGACGCUGAGGCUCGAAAGCGUGGGGAGCAAACAGGAUU
RNAcentral lists this ribosomal RNA (254 nucleotides) under uncultured bacterium. RNAcentral's name for it is "partial 16S ribosomal RNA". It matches the Rfam family "Bacterial small subunit ribosomal RNA", at positions 526 to 779 of the family's 1533-position model. The record is from RNAcentral.